GAGUUUGAUCGUGGCUCAGAUUGAACGCUGGCGGCAUGCCUUACACAUGCAAGUCGAACGGUAACAGGUCUUCGGAUGCUGACGAGUGGCGAACGGGUGAGUAAUACAUCGGAACGUGCCCAGACGUGGGGGGAUAACGAGGCGAAAGCUUUGCUAAUACCGCAUACGAUCUAAGGAUGAAAGCAGGGGACCGCAAGGCCUUGCGCGUUUGGAGCGGCCGAUGGCAGAUUAGGUAGUUGGUGGGAUAAAAGCUUACCAAGCCGACGAUCUGUAGCUGGUCUGAGAGGACGACCAGCCACACUGGGACUGAGACACGGCCCAGACUCCUACGGGAGGCAGCAGUGGGGAAUUUUGGACAAUGGGCGAAAGCCUGAUCCAGCAAUGCCGCGUGCAGGAUGAAGGCCUUCGGUUGUAACUAGCUUUGUUACGGAACGAAAGGACUCUGGCUAAGUACCUGGGCGACAUGAC
This 468-nucleotide ribosomal RNA is filed under the name uncultured microorganism. RNAcentral describes it as "bacterial SSU rRNA". It matches the Rfam family "Bacterial small subunit ribosomal RNA", at positions 9 to 478 of the family's 1533-position model. The record is from RNAcentral.